UUUGAAGUAAAUCCAUACAGUUAAAGGUGAAGGGAAAAUCUUUUAUAACAGGCCAAAGAUUAGUAGCUUCUUUUAAUUUUGUAUUUUAUAUAUAGUAAUUAUAGUUAAGAAAACAUAUUCAAACACUUUCUCUAACAGUAAUUGAAGCACUAAUUUUUUUUUUAUCGCUCAUAUUUUUAAGAGAAGGCAACACUUUUCCUGAUAUAUUUUUCUCUCAUGCUCACUCUAUUAGUGAAUUAGUGAAUUAUGUUGGUGGGAUAAUUUCAUUCUUUUUUUUCACUAC
Molecule: long non-coding RNA, 283 nt
Filed under: Glycine max (soybean)
Lineage: Eukaryota; Viridiplantae; Streptophyta; Magnoliopsida; Fabales; Fabaceae
Description: long non-coding RNA (GMAX_LNC003444)
Source: RNAcentral